This 253-nucleotide ribosomal RNA is filed under the name uncultured bacterium. RNAcentral's name for it is "partial 16S ribosomal RNA". It matches the Rfam family "Bacterial small subunit ribosomal RNA", at positions 524 to 776 of the family's 1533-position model. The record is from RNAcentral.
UACGUAGGGGGCAAGCGUUACUCGGAUUUAUUGGGCGUAAAGCGAAUGUAGGCGGUUUAGUAAGUCAGAGGUGAAAUCCCCCAGCUCAACUGGGGAAUUGCCUUUGAUACUGCUAAACUUGAGGACAGGAGAGGAAAGUGGAAUUCCCGGUGUAGCGGUGGAAUGCGUAGAUAUCGGGAGGAACACCAGAGGCGAAGGCGGCUUUCUGGACUGGUCCUGACGCUGAGAUUCGAAAGCCAGGGGAGCAAACAGG